UCGAGGCGGUCGGUAGCCCGCGCGGUUCGAGAAAUCGCAAAAAGGUAAUCAAGUUCGAUCCUUCCACCGCCAACCGG
This 77-nucleotide small RNA is filed under the name Florenciella parvula. RNAcentral's name for it is "partial Cyanobacteria transfer-messenger RNA". The record is from RNAcentral. Lineage: Eukaryota; Dictyochophyceae; Florenciellales.